UAGUCGGCGUGUGUGUGUGUGUGUGUGUGUGUGUGUGUGUGUCUCUGUCACUCUGUGCGCGCAGGACAAACGUGCUCACGCCAGGAGGAGGGAAUUGUAGGAAAGGGGUGUUGCUCUCAGAGGGUGUGCUGUGCUCAACUUUCCUCUCCCUCCUUCCCGCCAUCACGUUCCUCCUUCUUCUUCUUCUUCUUCUAGUUUUAUUUCUUUAUAUUUCUAUUUUCUCCUCUCCUCCUCCACCACCAGUCCAGUGUGGCCUACACACAGACUACAGGUAUUUCAUCCAUUUUCAACCCGUAUCAUCUAAUUCUGCUGCCUUUCCCUCCUCCUCCCCUUCUCCUUCGCUGUCUCUGCCCUAACUCCUCUGGUUCUUUUCGUCCUUUUUUCCCGAGCUGGGUCCUCGUCCGACAUUCAGUUUUUUCCUCGUCAAACGCGCCUUCUUGUCUUCGCAUGCCACAUCCCACUCCGCUCGCCGCCAUUUUGGCUCGAAACAACAUCUCGGGGAAAACUUUUUUAAAAAGCUCAGAGCUCAAUGUGACUCCACAUUGACCCUGUCCUUCUGUCCCCCCUCCCUGGGCCACCUUUCAGUGUCUCUCAACUCCCUCUGACCUCUCCUGUCCUUCCUCUGUGCUCACAGGACACCAGCAGCAGCAACAGUCCUCAGUAAACAGUCAGUCUGUUGAGUUGCUCCAGAGACAGGUGUCUCUCUUUUUUUGUGUGGGGACAGACAAUAGGAAGAGGAUGGUCUUUUUUGGCUUCUCUCUCAGAGAUCAGACCGGAAUAGUUUUCAGGAGUUUGAUUCUGGAGAAUCGUCUGCUGGAAUAGAAAAACCACUGCUGUUCUCUGGGAUGAGGUAGUAGAUUGAAUAGUUGUGAGGUUUCCUGACCUCGUUGUAGGAUAACUAUACAAUCUACUGUCUUUUCCAAGGAAACAGCUAAGUCGUCACAGACACAGCAGACGCUACAGUAGCCAGUUAAACCAAUUCUGCUCUGUGACUAGGAUUUUUCUUUUUUUUUUUUUGGUAGUUACAGGAGGGCGUUGCAGGGUUGAUGUCGAUGCUUGAAAGAGCUCACUGUCAAAGCUAAACUUUGGCUACAGCUCAGGACCUCAAACGUAUCAAUACCAAGGCUAGCUCAACAGAAUAUCGCACUCCUCUACACCACACUGUGACUGAACUUUAUUUUUUGGCAAUUGAUAAUAAAUAGGGAUGGUCGAUAAUAUCGGACAACUGAUAUUAUCGGCCCAAUAUUAGCAUAAUUAUGUAAUUCUAUGUAAAUAUCGUUAUCAGUUUUUCCUCCGAUAAUGAAACCCCAGUAAUGCAAUACCUGGGUUUUGCCAAAUGAAGUGUGCCCUUAAAAUAGUUUUGGGGGAAAAACGGCUGUAUAUGAAAGUGAAAGUCACUAGAUGGCAGUGUUGCAGCUCCCUAAUGUGUUGCAGACAUCCCUAAUAAUAGACAAACAUAAACAGAAAGAGUCUGAAUUUAAUUUGGUUUAUACAAGUAUUUUCCGCAUCUACACAUACGUACCCAUGAAUGUCUAAAAAAAAAAAAGCGGAAAUAGAAAAAUCUCUUGAGAAUACGCUUAGGUUACUUUUUUAGUAAAUUAAUGCAAACUCUCCUUUUGUCAGUAAUCACAGGACACAGUCAUUUCAUGACAUCUGACCUCCAAACUGGGCUCUCUCAGGGUGAGGUAGUAGGUUGUAUAGUUUGGUGGGCUCAAACCCUGCUCAGGUGAUAACUAUACAAUCUAUUGCCUUCCCAGAGGAGUUCGCUGAUGCUCAUCAUCACUUUUAAAGUUUCUACAUAUCAAGAUUCAAAUGUGUUUUUGAAAUAAAUCAAUUUGGUUUAAGGUACUAUUUGAACAUUUUUGUUUUAUCACGUUUUUCUGCCUAGAUUUAAAGAUCCAGGAAACAAGAAAGUACAUAAACAAAGUGUUGGUAAUUUUUAGUAUAUUAUAUAGUUGUACUGCUACAUUUGUGUUUGUAUAUUUGUUUAUUCUAAUUAGAAAAAAAUUACGGGUCAUUUGGAAUAUUUAAAAUACUUAUGUUGAAUUUUUUUCAUGCUCAUGUGUCAGUUAUGUUGCUUAAGCCAAAAAACUUUUUAAAUUUUGUUUUUUAUAAAUAUAUAAUAUUUGACUUGUGUGUGUUUUUGUGUAUUUUUAUGUGUGCGUGCGUGUGUAGUGAGAUACACCCCCCAAGUUGAUAUGACUGAUACAGUAACAGGCAUCUAAGAUUGUUAUCAACCAUUUACUGGAUUAGUUUGCAUAAACUUUGCCUGUGUGUAUUUUUAUACGCGAGUGUCUGGUUCAGUUAACAAUCUGUGUUUGCAUGGAUCUUUCAAGAGACAUAAGGAUGAUUUG
Long non-coding RNA from Cynoglossus semilaevis (tongue sole), 2354 nucleotides. RefSeq lists it as uncharacterized. The transcript is spliced from 2 exons. The record is from RefSeq and is a predicted model, not a curated record. NCBI's taxonomy places the organism in Eukaryota, Metazoa, Chordata, Actinopteri, Pleuronectiformes, Cynoglossidae.